RNAcentral lists this microRNA precursor (170 nucleotides) under Hordeum vulgare. Its description in RNAcentral is "microRNA MIR1122". It matches the Rfam family "MIR1120/MIR1122 microRNA precursor family". The record is from RNAcentral. Lineage: Eukaryota; Viridiplantae; Streptophyta; Magnoliopsida; Poales; Poaceae.
GAUAUACUUCCUCCGUUCCUAAAUAUAAGUCUUCUAAGAGAUUUUACUAUGGACUACAUACGGAUGUAUAUAGACAUACUUUAGAAUGCAGAUUCACUCAUUUCGCUUCGUAUGUAGUCCGUAGUAAAAUCUCUUAAAAGACUUAUAUUUAGGAACGGAGGGAGUAUAUA